This 235-nucleotide long non-coding RNA is filed under the name Eucalyptus grandis. RNAcentral describes it as "long non-coding RNA (EGRA_LNC000696)". The record is from RNAcentral. Lineage: Eukaryota; Viridiplantae; Streptophyta; Magnoliopsida; Myrtales; Myrtaceae.
ACACACCCACACGCAGAGAUGACAGCAAAAAUGCACUUCCCUUCAUCAACAACAUCAUUGUCUUUGCUUAUAACCAAUUUCUGCUUGCUCUUGGUUCUAAUCUCCCUGUUCCUUCCAGGGGCCUAUGGCCGUAAGUGAUUUUUCUUUUUGGUGCUCCAAGCUUCUAAUGAUGGAGGAGGACAUAAACUGAGGAUCAUGGUUCCAUGAAACUGUAGCUGGCAUGACAUAGCAUGAG